RNAcentral lists this ribosomal RNA (267 nucleotides) under Staphylococcus aureus. Its description in RNAcentral is "partial 16S ribosomal RNA". It matches the Rfam family "Bacterial small subunit ribosomal RNA", at positions 1 to 256 of the family's 1533-position model. The record is from RNAcentral. RNAcentral also lists the same sequence under 1 other name. Lineage: Bacteria; Bacillati; Bacillota; Bacilli; Caryophanales; Staphylococcaceae.
UUUUAUGGAGAGUUUGAUCCUGGCUCAGGAUGAACGCUGGCGGCGUGCCUAAUACAUGCAAGUCGAGCGAACGGACGAGAAGCUUGCUUCUCUGAUGUUAGCGGCGGACGGGUGAGUAACACGUGGAUAACCUACCUAUAAGACUGGGAUAACUUCGGGAAACCGGAGCUAAUACCGGAUAAUAUUUUGAACCGCAUGGUUCAAAAGUGAAAGACGGUCUUGCUGUCACUUAUAGAUGGAUCCGCGCUGCAUUAGCUAGUUGGUAAG